UGCCGGCAGGCCUAACACAUGCAAGUCGAGCGCGCCUUCGGGUGAGCGGCGGACGGGUUAGUAACGCGUGGGAACGUGCCCUUCUCUACGGAAUAGCCUCUGGAAACGGAGAGUAAUACCGUAUACGCCCUUUGGGGGAAAGAUUUAUCGGAGAAGAGAUCGGCCCGCGUUAGAUUAGGUAGUUGGUGGGGUAACGGCCUACCAAGCCUACGAUCUAUAGCUGGUUUUAGAGGAUGAUCAGCAACACUGGGACUGAGACACGGCCCAGACUCCUACGGGAGGCAGCAGUGGGGAAUCUUAGACAAUGGGGGCAACCCUGAUCUAGCCAUGCCGCGUGAGUGAUGAAGGCCUUAGGGUCGUAAAGCUCUAUCGCCUGUGAUGAUAAUGACAGUAGCAGGUAAAGAAACCCCGGCUAACUCCGUGCCAGCAGCCGCGGUAAUACGGAGGGGGUUAGCGUUGUUCGGAAUUACUGGGCGUAAAGCGCGCGU
Molecule: ribosomal RNA, 488 nt
Filed under: uncultured Roseobacter sp.
Lineage: Bacteria; Pseudomonadati; Pseudomonadota; Alphaproteobacteria; Rhodobacterales; Roseobacteraceae
Description: bacterial SSU rRNA
Rfam family: Bacterial small subunit ribosomal RNA
Source: RNAcentral